CUACGGGUUGCAGCAGUGGGGAAUAUUGCACAAUGGGCGAAAGCCUGAUGCAGCAACGCCGCGUGAGCGAUGAAGGCCUUCGGGUCGUAAAGCUCUGUCCUAAGGGAAGAUAAUGACGGUACCUUAGGAGGAAGCCCCGGCUAACUACGUGCCAGCAGCCGCGGUAAUACGUAGGGGGCAAGCGUUAUCCGGAAUCACUGGGCGUAAAGGGUGCGUAGGCGGCUGAUAAAGUCCGAGGUGAAAGGCUACGGCUUAACCGUAGUAAGCCUUGGAAACUUAUCGGCUUGAGUACAGGAGAGGAAAGUGGAAUUCCUAGUGUAGCGGUGAUAUGCGUAGAUAUUAGGAGGAACACCAGUGGCGAAGGCGACUUUCUGGACUGUUACUGACGCUGAGGCACGAAGGCGUGGGGAGCGAACAGGAUUAGAUACCCCCGUAGUC
Molecule: ribosomal RNA, 438 nt
Filed under: uncultured bacterium
Lineage: Bacteria
Description: partial 16S ribosomal RNA
Rfam family: Bacterial small subunit ribosomal RNA
Source: RNAcentral